Molecule: ribosomal RNA, 492 nt
Filed under: uncultured bacterium
Lineage: Bacteria
Description: SSU rRNA
Rfam family: Bacterial small subunit ribosomal RNA
Source: RNAcentral
AGGACGAACGCUGGCGGCGUGCUUAACACAUGCAAGUGGAGCGACGAACCAGGGCUUGCCCUGGGGCAGAGCCGCGAACGGGUGAGUAACACGUGGGUUACCUGCCUCGAUGACCGGGACAACCCGAGGAAACUCGGGCUAAUACCGGAUGUGCCCGCAAGGGGAAAGGAAGCUUCGGCCUCCGCAUCGAGAUGGGCCCGCGGCCCAUUAGCUUGUUGGUGAGGUAACGGCUCACCAAGGCUUCGAUGGGUAGCUGGUCUGAGAGGACGAUCAGCCACACUGGGACUGAGACACGGCCCAGACUCCUACGGGAGGCAGCAGUGGGGAAUCUUGCGCAAUGCGCGAAAGCGUGACGCAGCAACGCCGCGUGGGGGAAGAAGGCUUUCGGGUUGUAAACCCCUUUCAGUUGGGACGAAGCUCCGUCGGUGAAUAGCCGGCUGGAGUGACGGUACCUUCACAAGAAGCACCGGCUAACUACGUGCCAGCAGCCGC